GGCUGGUCUGAGUGCAGUGGUGUUUAUAACUAACUGAUCACAACCAAUUACAGAUUUCUUUGUACUUUCUCCAUUCUCAUUGCUUCACUUGACUAGCCUAAA
Molecule: unclassified non-coding RNA, 102 nt
Organism: Microcebus murinus (gray mouse lemur)
Lineage: Eukaryota; Metazoa; Chordata; Mammalia; Primates; Cheirogaleidae
Rfam family: Y RNA
About the family: Y RNAs are components of the Ro ribonucleoprotein particle (Ro RNP), in association with Ro60 and La proteins. The Y RNAs and Ro60 and La proteins are well conserved, but the function of the Ro RNP is not known.
Source: Ensembl